GACGAACGCUGGCGGCGUGCCUAAUACAUGCAAGUCGAGCGCAGGAAGCUGACGGAACUCUUCGGAGGGAAGGCAGUGGAAUGAGCGGCGGACGGGUGAGUAACACGUAAGGAACCUGCCUCAAGGAUUGGGAUAACUCCGAGAAAUCGGAGCUAAUACCGGAUAGUUCAACGGACCGCAUGGUCCGCUGAUGAAAGGCGCUCCGGCGUCACCUUGAGAUGGCCUUGCGGUGCAUUAGCUAGUUGGUGGGGUAACGGCCCACCAAGGCGACGAUGCAUAGCCGACCUGAGAGGGUGAUCGGCCACACUGGGACUGAGACACGGCCCAGACUCCUACGGGAGGCAGCAGUAGGGAAUCUUCCACAAUGGACGAAAGUCUGAUGGAGCAACGCCGCGUGAGUGAUGAAGGUUUUCGGAUCGUAAAACUCUGUUGUAAGGGAAGAACACGUACGAGAGGAAAUGCUCGUACCUUGACGGUACCUUACGAGAAAGCCACGGCUAACUACGUGCCAGCAGCCGCCGUAA
Molecule: ribosomal RNA, 524 nt
Filed under: uncultured bacterium
Lineage: Bacteria
Description: partial 16S ribosomal RNA
Rfam family: Bacterial small subunit ribosomal RNA
Source: RNAcentral